UAUGAAGAGGGAAUGCCAGUACAACA
This 26-nucleotide non-coding RNA is filed under the name Homo sapiens (human). Lineage: Eukaryota; Metazoa; Chordata; Mammalia; Primates; Hominidae. The record is from RNAcentral.